GCGGGCGUAAUUCAGUGGUAGAAUGUCAGCUUCCCAAGCUGAACGUCAGGGGUUCGAGUCCCCUCGUCCGCU
RNAcentral lists this transfer RNA (72 nucleotides) under Gloeomargarita lithophora Alchichica-D10. It matches the Rfam family "tRNA". Rfam says of the family: Transfer RNA (tRNA) molecules are approximately 80 nucleotides in length. Their secondary structure includes four short double-helical elements and three loops (D, anti-codon, and T loops). The record is from Rfam by way of RNAcentral. Lineage: Bacteria; Bacillati; Cyanobacteriota; Cyanophyceae; Gloeomargaritales; Gloeomargaritaceae.